ACCAGAUUGAGAAUCAUAAUUUAAGUCCUGAUGAACUGCAUCAAACUUAUAAUGUAGAAGAAUUUGAGGUUCGGAUCUUGGAACCAGAGAGACCUGGUGGCCCUUGGCAAACUAAGGCUACAAUUCCAAUGCAAAGUUCUGAAAAUGCACUUACUGUUCGAGUGGUUACACUGUUUAAUACAACUACAAAAGAGAAUGAAACACUUUUAGCCAUUGGGACCGCUUAUCUGCAAGGGGAGGAUGUUGCAGCAAGAGGGCGUGUGCUUCUGUUUUCUGUGGUGAAAAAUCCAGAUAAUUCUCAAGUUUUGGUUUCAGAAGUCUAUUCUAAAGAAUUGAAAGGUGC
Molecule: unclassified non-coding RNA, 343 nt
Filed under: Hevea brasiliensis (rubber tree)
Lineage: Eukaryota; Viridiplantae; Streptophyta; Magnoliopsida; Malpighiales; Euphorbiaceae
Source: RNAcentral